Podarcis lilfordi (Lilford's wall lizard) is the source of this 3878-nucleotide non-coding RNA. The record is from the annotation of a GenBank genome assembly. NCBI's taxonomy places the organism in Eukaryota, Metazoa, Chordata, Lepidosauria, Squamata, Lacertidae.
UCUUCCAGUUUUUGUCAGAGAGAUGCAGAUGGCCCUUCUGGCUGGCUGCUCUUUGCAUGGCUCCUGCUAGUCCGGUGGGUCCAGCCAGCCAGGAUCACAUGUGGCUGCAUGUGGCUGAGAGAGAGGAGAGACUGACUGGCUGCCAGGCCUGGGAAGGCGGCCUGCUUUCAGGCUGGCCCAGUUCCUCCUCUGUGCUUCUUCUGCCUGAGCUGCUCAGCUGAGUCAGAGCUUUGCAGAUGUGCAUCAGCUGGAGCUGGGUGGAGAGCUAGAGGCGGAAAAAUGGGAUGCCAUGGCAACGCCUUGCUCCCCACUCGCCCCCUCCAGUGGCAAAGCCAUGGAAACGAGGCUCCCGUUCUUAUCCACCAGCUUCUGGUUGCUUCUGCAGAGGUUGAUGUGCCUUUUGGAAACUACAUAACCCAGCAUGCAACGGUGCGCACGCAUGAGCAGGGAGUGUUGUUUUGAUUCCUCCAAAGCACUGCAUGCUGGGCAAUGUAGUUUCAUCCAGCCAGGACACCCUCGCUGUCUCAAGGCUGCUGCUCACCCCAAGGAAGGGAGGCUCCCAGUCUGAGGAGGCCCAGCACUUAACUGGAGAGAAAGGAGGGAAAGAGCAAAGAGAAUGAACUGAGGCAGGGAACAUUUGUCAGCCCAAAGGCUGCAAUUCCCCCCGGGCACCUUGGUGGUCAAGGGCAGAGGCAGAACUGGAUGUGAUAUUUUUCUAUCUGUCAUCUAUCUAUCUCUCUCAUAAAAUUUAUACACAGCUUGAUUGUAAAAAACAAACAAACCCCCAAAACAAACCCAAAGCCGAUUGCAAACAAGAAAAUGAAGGGAAACGUACAACAGUGUUUUAAAACAUAUAAUACGAAGCCUGCAAUACAAAGCACUCGAGGAAACUGCAGAGGAGAGCCAGUGUGAGGUCUGGGGGCCACAAUCAGUCCUUAGGAUGCCUGAGAUUCAUCACCGGCCCUAAACUAGACCCUCCCGCCUAACCGCUUCCCCCCAAAUCUUCAUUACUGUUUGAUCCUGACCAGAACAGGAAAGGCGAAACAAGCUGGUCAUUGUCUGAGCCAAUUUGGAAAGGAUGCAAACUGGCAGGGCAGCGUGGGGUGAGGUGAGGUCAGGAAACAAGAACUACCGAAGCUCUGCAUAUAAUGAGGCCUUGUUCAGGACCUGUUCCCUCUAGAGUCCUGUUCACCCAAAGUGUGGGUGAGUCAAGCCUUCCUUCCCUUGUUUUGGGGUGUUUAAUGGGCCAGAAAAAGUGGUCCUCAUAGGCAGAGCUGUUCCAGUUCAUUGGCCUCGCAUAACAGGCUACGCUGAGAGGCAGAGAAGUUGCAAACCCACCAUUAUCUCUCUGUCCCUCCCAGGCACACCAGCCCCCCAGCCCCCCUAUCGUCCGGCAACAGACACUCGCCACACCCUCCAAGGCUCCUUUCCUCUUGGGCUUCAUCCUUCCGCUCACCCUUUCCCAGGCUGCCUCGCAGACACCCGCCCCCUUUAGCUUGAAGGGGGUGUAAUAAACGAAAAUCUGCCCUUAUUCCCUUAUGGGGGACACAAGAGCCCUUAUAGGGUCCUUUGUAGGUUCUCCAUUGGUAGGAGAAAAUAACAGAGGCCAGCCAGAGAAUAUUGAGAAGCAAAGCAGCUAGUAAGCCUGAUCUUUAUUAAACUGUUGCAACAGGGUGCUCCCCUCACACGCAGGAAAGGAGGAGGACCCCAAACAAAGGUGUGCCCACCAUUAUAUAGACAUUUUAAAUUGCCCGCCCUGGAGUCCAAGACCACCCCCAGAAACAUCAUACAUACAUCACAGAAGGGGCGGUCUACAACAGAAAUCUGAGCGCGUUGUUUGCCGGAAAUCUGAGUGCGUUGUUUACCUCCUGUCUGGCAGGUGACCUGUUAAUGCUCACUUGAUUGGAUACCCUGGGGCGCCUGGCCACUCUUUUGUAAUGAUAAAUACUUAGUUCCUGAGCCAGGUCACAGGCUCACCCUAUUCAUACACAGACACACCCUUAAGACAGGCUUUGUGAAGGAAAAGACAAUGGGGAGGCUUUUCCAUUUUCCUUGACCUUGAAGAGAAAACAUUUGGUCAGUUUGAGAGUCAAAAUGGUUUCUGGGCUGUUUUCCUGAGCUGCUUCAGACAUGUGGUUUAUAUAUUUAUGUACAUGUUUGCUUGGUGCAUUUAGGAACAUUUAUUAUAUAUAUAAGACCUUAAUUCUUUUAUUUCAGAGGGAGGGUGGUGUGAGAACUUUCUGGCAGUAAGAGAUGUUCACAGCAGAAUAGACUCCCUUGGAAGGUGGUGGACUCACCUUGCUUGGAGGCUUUUAAGCAGAGGUCAUGUGACUGUUUGCCCGAGAAAGCUUUAGUUGGGAUUUCUGCACUGCAGGGGGUUGGACUAGAGGACCCUCGGGGUCCCUUCCAACUCUACCAUUCUAGGAUUCCAGGAGUGGUGGGCCAGGACCCAGAAGAGACCAGAAUUCAAACCCCAUAGUCAGCCAUGAAGCUCCCUUGGAGGCCAGACACAUUGCCUCUCAGCCUAACCUACCUCACAGGGUUGUUGUGGGGAUUAAAGAAGGAAGGGGAGAAAACCAUAUAUGCCACCCCAAGCUCCUUGGAGAAUAAGGUGAGGUAUGACUGCCCCUGAAGGACCAGGUGCGCAGCCUGGGAGUCAUUUUGGACUCACAGCUGUCCAUGGAGGUGCAGGUCAAUUCUGUAUCCAGGGCAGAUGUUUACCAGCUCCAUCUGGUAUACAGGAUGAGACCCUCCCUGCCCGCAGACUGUCUCGCCAGAGUGGUGCAUGCUCUAGUUAUCUCCCGCUUGGACUACUGCAAUGCGCUCUACAUGGGGCUACCUUUGAAGGUGAACCAGAAACUACAACUAAUCCAGAAUGCGGCAGCUAGACUGGUGACUGGGAGCGGCCGCUGGGACCAUAUGACACCGGUCUUGAAAGACCUACAUUGGCUCCUAGUACGUUUCCGAGCACAAUUCAAAGUGUUGGUGCUGACCUUGAAAGCCUCGGUCCAGUAGACCUGAAGGAGCGUCUCCACCCCCAUCGUUCUGCCCAGACACUGAGGUCCAGAUCCGAGGGCCUUCUGGCGGUUCCCUCAUUGCGAGAAGCAAAGCUACAGGGAACCAAGCAGAGGGCCUUCUCGGUGGUGGUGCCCUCCCUGUGGAACGCCCUCCCACCAGAUGCCAAAGAAAUAAACUAUCUGACUUUUAGAAGACAUCUGAAGGCAGCCCUGUUUAGGGAAGCUUUUAACAUUUUAUGAAUCCUUGUAUUUUAAUAUUCUUCUGGAAGCCGGUUAGCAAAUGGAAAGGCCUUGGGCAAGAACACAGCAGCCUGGCUUGUGUGAUGGAAACCUGGCAGGGUGAUGGGGGGGGGGGAGAUGUGCAGGGUUUCCUUGGAAAAUCUGUGCGCCUUGAGAAGCAGUAGGAGCAGGGGCCUGGGACCUCUCCAGAUGCUUCUGCCUGGCCAGGGGCAAGUCCAGCAGUCAGUGGAUCUUGGGUGUCUCUCUACCCAGUGCUGAGUACCUGAGAGAGGACAGGGAUUCUGUUAAGGUACCAUCCGCCCUGCUCCCAAAGGGAUUCCCUCCCUCACCUCCCCAGUACUUGAGGUCUGGAGGGGGUUCAGUCCUCUGGAGCCUUCAGGGCACCCCUGAACCUGUCUCAGAUAAUGUCUCCACCCAGCACAUGUGGCGGGACAUGCUUUGGCCCUGCACUUUAGGGGGCUUGAUUAUUACUAUUACUAGUUUAAAUAUGUUUUUAAUGAAAGUUUUUCCAUAAGUAACAAAAGCACAUUCUGCAUCUCCGUUUGAGACAUUUUUGUUAUAGGCAAUGUGGGGUUGUGGGGAAAAGAGAGGCGAGGAGAAGGGAGGAAAUAGAGAAAGAGG